UACGGUAACGGCUUACCAAGGCGACGAUCAGUAGCCGACCUGAGAGGGUGAUCGGCCACAUUGGAACUGAGACACGGUCCAAACUCCUACGGGAGGCAGCAGUGGGGAAUAUUGCACAAGGGGCGAAAGCCUGAUGCAGCAACGCCGCGUGAGUGAUGAAGGCCUUCGGGUCGUAAAACUCUGUCCUCAAGGAAGAUAAUGACGGUAC
This 208-nucleotide ribosomal RNA is filed under the name Clostridioides difficile. RNAcentral describes it as "partial 16S ribosomal RNA". It matches the Rfam family "Bacterial small subunit ribosomal RNA", at positions 253 to 478 of the family's 1533-position model. The record is from RNAcentral. Lineage: Bacteria; Bacillati; Bacillota; Clostridia; Peptostreptococcales; Peptostreptococcaceae.